UGCGAAGGGUGCAAGCGUUAAUCGGAAUUACUGGGCGUAAAGCGUGCGUAGGCGGUUUGUUAAGUCUGUUGUGAAAGCCCUGGGCUCAACCUGGGAAUGGCAAUGGAUACUGGCAAGCUAGAGUCAGGUAGAGGGUGGUGGAAUUCCCGGUGUAGCGGUGAAAUGCGUAGAGAUCGGGAGGAACAUCUGUGGCGAAGGCGGCCACCUGGACCAUGACUGACGCUGAGGCACGAAAGCGUGGGGAGCAAACAGG
RNAcentral lists this ribosomal RNA (253 nucleotides) under uncultured bacterium. RNAcentral describes it as "partial 16S ribosomal RNA". It matches the Rfam family "Bacterial small subunit ribosomal RNA", at positions 524 to 776 of the family's 1533-position model. The record is from RNAcentral.